Molecule: RNA transcript, 456 nt
Organism: Magnolia sinica
Lineage: Eukaryota; Viridiplantae; Streptophyta; Magnoliopsida; Magnoliales; Magnoliaceae
Exons: 2
Source: RefSeq, a predicted model, not a curated record
UUGCAGAACUCAGGAGGGAGACUGAUGAGUUGCGAUGACACAUGAAUGAGCGGGUAGAGCAACUAGUGGAGGAGCGGAUGAAAGAACAGAUGGCUAAGCAUCUAGAGCAAAUGGAGCAACGGAUGACAGAGCGAAUAACGGAGCAGAUGGAGCAACGGAUGACAGAGCGAAUAACAGAGCAGAUGAUGGCACGAAUGAGAGAUACUAUGAACUCAUUGGCUGCAACAGACCAAACUUCAGGCAAUGUACUAAAUGUAGAGGCUGACUCAGUAUCCACUCCUAGGGAUAGACCUGAGGCUGAGGGACCUCAGUCGAAGGUUCCGAAGAAUCAAUAGGUCAAGUCGUAUUUAUGUGUAUUUAUGUGUUUGACAUGCAAAAGAAUCCAAGGGCUGUCUUAAAAUGAGGGUUGCAAAUUGGAAAAAGGUGGGCCAUACUUUUUUGCUUCAUGCUUUGUUU